Molecule: non-coding RNA, 45 nt
Organism: Schistosoma rodhaini
Lineage: Eukaryota; Metazoa; Platyhelminthes; Trematoda; Strigeidida; Schistosomatidae
Source: Rfam
AUCCAGCUGACAAGUCCCCGAUAGGACGUAACGCACGUCCCGGAU